Molecule: long non-coding RNA, 262 nt
Filed under: Triticum aestivum (bread wheat)
Lineage: Eukaryota; Viridiplantae; Streptophyta; Magnoliopsida; Poales; Poaceae
Description: long non-coding RNA (TAES_LNC005380)
Source: RNAcentral
GGCGUUGGUUUUGUUGAAUUUGGACAAACAGGUAAAAAGAUGUGGUCGUUUGAAACAGAGGGACUAAUCUGUAAGAAAGAUAAUUACAACUAGGUCCCUGGCUGAAAUUAAAACAGAAAGAUAAUUACAACUAGGUCCCUGGCUGAAAUUAAAACAGAAAAAGAAAACCUAUCUAACGAACGUUCGCUGCCGAACGCUAACUAAUGAAUAUGCUCACUAGAACUACCUAAACAGAAAAUGUUCUCUAAAUAACUAAAAAAAC